UUCAUUCAGGGCGACUGAACUGAGUCACGGGGGUGACUGGAAUUAAGGCUCAGCUGAGUCCUGCCUCUAGAACUGUAGCACCAGCCCAGGAGGAGCUUCCUGUCGCACCUGUCUAUCUGUACAGCAUCUCAUGUGUGACUUAAGAGCCUCAGGGAUACCAAACCACCACACUGCUUUGGCAUUUAGUAAGUCUUAAAAAUGAUGGCCUCAGAGCCCAGGGAGUCAACCAUGGGAGCCUGGGCUAGCAUGGUUCAUGGGGGCAGUGGCACUCCUCACUGGUUCUCUUUGAUCACAGUGUCUGCCUAAGGUACCUCUUCUUAUUUACAGAUCGUCUGGUUUUUCCUCUCACAAAAAACGUGUGAGUGAAAUUAUCACGAGUGAGGUUGUAGUCCUGAUGUGAGUGUGAGUGAGAUUAUCACGAGUGAGGUUGUGUCCUGUUGAUGUGUGAGUUCCAGGACAGCCAGGACUACACAAAGAAAACCUGUCUCAAAAAAAACUAAACAAACAAACAAACAAACAAAAAAAGUCAGACUCAGUUAUUGUGGACUCUCAGUUUCUACUUUCAGGGGCCCAUGGCCAGUCAAGUGAGAGUCUACCAUUGUCCCCCAUUUUAGAGAUGGCCGUGUCUUGGGUGUGCUGGAGGUAUCCCGCUCCAUUGGAGAUGGGCAGUACAAGCGUUGCGGGGUCACAUCCGUGCCUGAUAUCAGACGCUGCCAGUUGACCCCCAAUGACAGGUAAAAGCAAAUGGUCACCAAAAGUGUGGGUGUACACACACAGGGACUUGUUUCUCUUGCUGAUUUUUCUCCAAUCUCUGUUCAGCCUUUGCUGGGAGAAGUUGAGGGGGUGGGGUAUGCAGUGUGCCUGGCCCUGGGGUGCAGACACCUGUGGGUUCCAGUUUCAUGGGGUCCAUGGUGGUCAGGAAGCAAAUGAGAUGGGCACUGGCCUUCCCACAGGAGUGUAGGAGUUAUACUAGGAGGCUUUAGUGUGGGGGAGGCACCCAUUCCAGAGGGACUAUAUCCAGACCGUGUCAACUCACUCAAGUACAACAUGAACAGCCAGGUCAGUGCUAACAGUGGUGGC
RNAcentral lists this long non-coding RNA (1080 nucleotides) under Rattus norvegicus (Norway rat). Its description in RNAcentral is "long non-coding RNA NONRATT030283". The record is from RNAcentral. Lineage: Eukaryota; Metazoa; Chordata; Mammalia; Rodentia; Muridae.